This 253-nucleotide ribosomal RNA is filed under the name uncultured bacterium. RNAcentral describes it as "partial 16S ribosomal RNA". It matches the Rfam family "Bacterial small subunit ribosomal RNA", at positions 524 to 776 of the family's 1533-position model. The record is from RNAcentral.
UACGGAGGGUGCAAGCGUUAUCCGGAUUUAUUGGGUUUAAAGGGUCCGUAGGCGGAAUCGCAAGUCAGAGGUGAAAGCCCACAGCUUAACUGUGGAACUGCCUUUGAUACUGCCAUCCUUGAGUAUAGUUGAAGUGGGCGGAAUGUGCGGUGUAGCGGUGAAAUGCAUAGAUAUCGCACAGAACACCUAUCGCGAAGGCAGCUCACUAAACUAUUACUGACGCUCAGGGACGAAAGCGUGGGGAGCAAACAGG